GCCAGGGGAGGCCAAUGGCACCUGCAGGGCAGAUUACCUGGCUCUGUGCAUGGGAACGUGGCUAUACCAGGCUUAUUAGUGGAACUGGAGCGCAGCGCUGACUGAGAGGCACAUCAAUUAGCAGGGCCGAGAGACAUUUCAAAGGCCCUCUGUAAUUCAUCUGUGAGCUGGAUUAAGCCAGAGAGCAGGAAUCAGCUGAGUCAGCACGCCACUUCAUUAUCUCAGUGUCUCUCCAGCAUGAAUAUCGAAACCUUCCUGGGCUGCUUGAAAAGGAGCCCAUCUGAAACACAGCCUAAUGAAACCAAGCUGUCAACAGAAAUGUACUUAUCAGGAGAAGCCUUUGAUUCUGUGAAAAGCUGCUGUGAUAAUUGCAGUCCAUUGAUCCUGAAAACUAAGAUGACUGCUGGCGUAUUGCGGCUUGCACAGCCCGGGCUGUUGUAAAGGAAAUUACCUCCUUGAUCUGCGACACGUGAGCCCGAGCAGAUGAAAGGAGCCGGCGAGCAACGGGUCAGCAAAGCCAACCCCGCGCCGUUCAUGGGCUGCUGAAGCACUUUAAAACUCGGCUCUGACGUAGAAGGAGAUCCUUAUUUAAUUUCUGCAGCUGGCUGCAGCGGAUCUUCGUUCCCUGCCCCUAAGCUGGAGCGCAAGCGGCACGGCAGCGCUGCGGGCAGGAGGGCAGCGUGCGGCCAUGGGGCUCCUCCUGCCCGGGGGAAGGGGGGGGGAACCUCAGGGAGGGGCUCCUGGGUUCUGUCCUUACUGCACCGCUUUCUUUGCUUCAUAGGAAGGAACGCAGUGCCGAUCGGCUAGAAGAAAAAUAGCGAGCUGGAGAAGCGUGCGUCAUCUGCCCAUCACAUCUCUUUAGAACUCGUUCUUUUCUCAUUCGCAGCAAAUAACCUGCGAAAUGAUAGAAAAAUAAAACCCCAUCACGGUAAAAACGGCUUUUGAGAGGGCAGGCAGAGACAACUUCAGAGCAAGAAAAACAGAAUACCGGGAAAUAACCCGAUAUUCGGGACAUCAGCCCAUCCUCAUCGGCUUGCCAAUGGAAAACCUUGAUUUAGUGUUCCUUGCAGAAGCGCCAUGGUUCUGUUAUUGAAAUUCUCCAGCAAAUAAAGUUGUACACACUGAGAAAGCAGCAGCUUCUUCUGAAAUAUUUGCUCCGGGAUUUAAUCUGAAAGUUGAAUAAAUUAUGACAUUUAUUAUCAGGUCGUUGAGUGACAAGUUUAAACCGCAGUCAAAUAUUCGGGCGUUUUUAAUAUGCCACUUUCGCUGUGUACACAUAGCAAAGUGUAUUUAUUAAUCAAAGAAUAAAGUUCACCUGUGU
Numida meleagris (helmeted guineafowl) is the source of this 1321-nucleotide long non-coding RNA. RefSeq lists it as uncharacterized. The record is from RefSeq and is a predicted model, not a curated record. NCBI's taxonomy places the organism in Eukaryota, Metazoa, Chordata, Aves, Galliformes, Numididae. The transcript has 2 exons.